This 450-nucleotide ribosomal RNA is filed under the name uncultured bacterium. Its description in RNAcentral is "bacterial SSU rRNA". It matches the Rfam family "Bacterial small subunit ribosomal RNA", at positions 329 to 793 of the family's 1533-position model. The record is from RNAcentral.
UCCCAGACUCCUACGGGAGGCAGCAGUGGGGGAUAUUGCACAAUGGGGGGAACCCUGAUGCAGCGACGCCGCGUGAGGGAAGACGGUUUUCGGAUUGUAAACCUCUGUCUUUAGGGACGAAACAAAUGACGGUACCUAAAGAGGAAGCCACGGCUAACUACGUGCCAGCAGCCGCGGUAAUACGUAGGGAGCGAGCGUUGUCCGGAAUUACUGGGUGUAAAGGGAGCGUAGGCGGGCGAGAAAGUUGAAUGUUAAAUCUACCGGCUUAACUGGUAGCUGCGUUCAAAACUUCUUGUCUUGAGUGAAGUAGAGGCAGGCGGAAUUCCUAGUGUAGCGGUGAAAUGCGUAGAUAUUAGGAGGAACACCAGUGGCGAAGGCGGUCUGCUGGACAGCAACUGACGCUGAGGCGCGAAAGCGUGGGGAGCAAACAGGAUUAGAUACCCCGGUAAG